CUGUGCCCGGACUCACAGCCAGUGGUAAAAGCCCUGUGGUAUAGCGUUAAGUGCUGCUGUUCUUAACUCCGUGAAACAAAGUUUUAUCAGCCAUGAACCAGCGAUGGAAAAGGCUGUCAUUUGACCAUACAAAUCCGCUUAGGUGGAAAAUAUUUGCUUAUCCUAUAGUACUUGGGUUGGGGAAGUGGGUGCUGUUACAGCAGCUCAGCUAACAGUGGUGUCAUGUGAACAAUGUUGUUCCCGUAGCCUCCUGGAGUCAGGAUAACUGGUAUUGCUCCCCCUCCAGAGCAGGAAAAGCCUUAUUGGAAAUCCUGAGGCAUGACAUGGCCUCAUGAAAUUGUGUACCGGGCAUGUUGUAUUUGCAUCUUUUGAGGAAUAAGCAGGUGCUACGUAAACACAUUUUGAUGCCAAAGGGUGUCUCACUCGAGUCAUGGUUGUAAAUUAAUCCAGUUAGAUUUGACUCAGAUUGUGAGAAGCUGUAGUUCCCAGUCAGCCCUUCACCCUUUCACCACCCCCUUCCCGUGUGCAUGCUUUGCUGUUCAGAUCAGACUCCCUCUUGCCAUUCAUUUUCAUGUCCGAGCGUCUGAGGUGUUGCUGUCUGAUACCAGCAGUGACUUGGCUUCGUUCUGGCUCGUCCUGAAGGAGGGACGCUUUCAUGAUUCUGUUUCCUGAACUCUUCUUCAGAAGGUUUUCAUCCACACCUUCCAAAGCAGGGCACGGGAUCAAAGCUGAUAAUCAAGGGCACUUUAUCUUGAAAGGGCGAGUCUGACACCUCUUUUAUUCCUCUUUGCCGUGCCCAGCUCUUGUGUCAGAUUCCUACCCCCUGGCAGAGACCAGGAGAUGGUGCCACAGGGCCCUGCUCCCAUCACUGCUCAGCAUUUAUUUCCUAACUUCGGGAUCAGCAAUUCUGCGGCUCGGGGAGAUGGUGUGGAUGACGGCGGGCCGGCCUGUUACAUCAACUGCUCUCAGAGCGGUAGUUGGCAGCGCUAAUCUGCAUUAUGUGGGAUUAAACAGGCACAGUAAUUAACUUGCAUAAGCGCUUUAGCAACUUUUGGCACCUGAAUUGCAGAACGUCCUGUCUGUGGUGGUGCCUGUAGCACAGGACAGCACGGUGUGAAGCUGUCAGGGAGAAAAUGGAGCUCAGAUUUCAUAUGCAAGCAGCACUGAGAAGGAGAGAGAAGAAAAAAAAGUGCUACAGCCCAGCUCAAAUAUCCAAGCAUUUUUUUAAGGAGUUAAUGUGUGCUGAGCACGUUACGGGUGUGUUGGGAGGGCACUGUGGGCACUGUUGUCCUCAGCCCUCUUUGAAUCCAAACAGAAAAGCUAUGUCCAUUUCCAGUCCUUCUCUGGUGUAUGGCAGCUCGUCUGUGCUGCUAAUUCAGAUCUGCUUUGAAUCAAGCUCACAGCAGGAAGGCCAAAAUGCAGCGACUGCAGUAUUUUGUCUUUCUUUAAAACAUACGGUGACAGGGAAAAGGUCUUGGAGUCAGCAGGAAAACUGAGAAGAUUUAAUAUCCCCCGUAUCUAGUAAGGUAUCCUUGGUGAUAUAUAUGAAGCUUGUUCUAGAUUUAUGUGAGGCAGAAGUCACUGCCAAGUCAUCUGGAAUCUGUGGGGUUUCAGGAAAAAGUGCUGAUCCAGUUUGCUUUGCAGACCAUGCGGGCUUUGUUUGUUUGUUUCAGACUUGGGGUCCUCCUGCAAGCCCUGCAGGAUCAUUUCAAGACCUCUUUGCUUUUCAGGAAGUGUUCUUUUAGGAGAUGGCCUUUUGCAAGGCAAGGCACUCGAAGUUUUCUCACCACCCAGAUGGUUCCAUACAGCUCCAUAUGUUUUAGAAGCAGUUGGGAAUAUGUGUAUUUCUGUAGCCAUCAGCUGCCCAAGGUGUGGCGGACUUCAGUGCUGUGCCAUCCUCAGUCCUAAUUCCGCCCUAAAAAUGGGCAGCGGCCUUGUGAAAAGCUACUUUAGACAAUGGAUCAUCAGCCCCAGAGGACUCCUUUUCCAGCUACUGAUUGGUGUAAGAGCCUCCCUCAUAUCUGAACGUAAAUUUCAAUGGAAAAAUAGAUCUCCUGCUGGCUUUGGGGUCCCUUUAGCCAGGGGAUGGUAUGGGACUCAGGAUUAGGGUGGACUUGGGGAAUGGGGAGUCAAAGGGCUGAUGAGUUUGUAAGUUUGUAACAGGCAAACCAGAGUUCAGUAACUGCCUUGUGGUUGGCCUGAGCCCUUGUCCUGGUGUAAAAGCAGAGGGCAAUAAGGUACUGUGGGAAGCUGAUCUCAGCAAGCCCUGAGCACCUCAUCCCUCACAACUCAGCCCUGGAAUCUCAGCCAGCCAGCAGUCUGCAGCUCCUCUCCCUUUGAAGAAAACCACCCAUGGGUGUGAAAAGCUCUGAUCCUUAUCUCUUGUGGGUGUGCUGUCAGAGUGACGUGGAGGAGGUAAAAACAGAAAGUGAUAGACACCGACCUCAACCUUCUUCUGUCAGUAUUGCUGUUUACCUGCAUGGAGAGGCAGGUCCCCAUUUCCUCCGUCAGAUGAUAAUGUUUGUUUUGAAAGCUGGCUUAACUACUAAUUGAUAUUUUACUUAAGAAACAGGAAAAUGAAACACAUUGUUUAUAGUUAAAGCAUUAGUAAAAAGCAAACUAUGUAAGACAAUGAUCCACGUGAAAGAACAAACCCAGAAAGUAUGAAUUAACGUAAGAUGACUUUCAGGCUUAGCUAAUUGUUUCAUUAGCUGGAAUCCUAAAGACUUGCCUUGCUUCUACAAGAAUCUCUUCUGAAUGUUGAUAGGCUGGCACUCCAAAUCUGUGGGGAAUAGGUUUCCUGGCUCAGUAUCAAUUUCAAGCAAAUCUUGCCAACUAAGGAAAAGAAGCAGGGGGUGCAGACUGGAGUUUUCAAAGAGUGCCAAUCUAGAAGUGAACUCCAUGGCUGCAACCACACACAGGUGAAUGUUCUGACCCAGAACCGUGAUUUCAGCUGCUGUCAGACCAUUCCACUCCAAUAAAGUCUAGUGCAACGUUGUGAGAUCAAGGACACUGCUGCUUUCACAAUAAGUGAUGGGGACAGGGAAGAAAAAGGGCAAAGAAAUGCUCAUGUCCUGGAAAUAUCAGAAGAGAUAAGAGGAACGUCAUGCAGUGUUUUGAAGAACACAUAUGAUUCACUGUCCGGUAAUGCAAACACUUUGCAGGGGUGCAGAUCAUGGUGUGUGGAUGUCCUCGUUUAUCUGCUGGAAGAAUGUCUCUAUAACUAUAUGAUCCUGAUGGACUCACGUUGCACAAAUGAUUUUGCAGCUUGCUUUAAACUUCAGGCAGAACUCUAAAUCCUUUCAGUCCUACUUUCAGAAUUCAGUAUGAAUUUCCAGGAUAACCAAAUUCACCAUAAGGUAACUUACUGUUAUUAUACUUAGUCACAAGAUUGUGUCUGAAAUUUGCUGUGCUCCAUCCAAAGCAUCUAUAUUACUUACCUUCACCUAAUACCCCAGAGAAAGAAAAUUAUUCAUUCACCCUUGUUUUGCUUUUCAGGUUUGAGUUUUUCUUGCUGGUAAAGAUUCCCUUAAUUACAUGUUUGAAGCAAUGUUAUAUAAAUAUGAUGGGGGUAGCAGUAAUUUCUGUCAUGAAAUUGUUACAUGGACUUGGAAAAGAAGUACACUGCAAAUGUGUUGGGAGGUUUACACUGGGGAUUCUGUUCGCACAGAAGACAUAAGAAGUGGGGGAUGCUUUCCCUAAUCACAUCUUGGGCUACUCAUUAAGUUACAGUGUUUCCCAAACUGUAGUUUUCCUCAAUUAGUUUUCUCAAAUAACCCAAAAUAUUUGACUUGCACAAGAGCUUGAAUUUAAGCUCCUGUUUUGGAAACUCUUGGCCACUUUUAUUUCCUGGUUGAAAUCUUGAACUGUAAAAUGUUUUUGCUUCAUGAAAACAUUGCACAGUAGUUGACUAAAGAAAAUACACCAAAUAAAGGCAAAAUGUCAGAAGCCUUUGUAGCUUUCACUUGCUACAGCAGGAAGGCACACUGAUUAUUUGAGCCACUCACUGUCUCACUACAGACAAGUCAUCAUCAACUCCAUCUGUAACACUGCUUCAUUAUUGCGCUUAUUCAUUUAGAAUUGUGGAAGAAAGCAAGUCUGUCCUGGGAACUGCCUUUUCUCAAAUCACAGGUGGGCACAGGGUCAUCUGGACAAGUCUGCUAAGCCUCAUCAAUGCAGUUUAACAACCCAGAUUUCCCAGAGCUGGGCAGGCUGGCAGUCACUGCUGUGCAGGGUAGCACAGGAUGCUGCGGCACCCAGCGCUGCCUUACUUGGAGCGCCAGCAGCACUGCAGCCUUAAACCUGUGGCACGGCUGGGAGAGCCGAGGCUGCGCCAGGUUGCGGUGUGCCUACAGCAUCCAUGCCCAUGGAAUGCAACUGGGACAUGUGGCAGCUGUCUGCAUGCGAACGCUGCAUGGCUGACCUCAAAUAUGGGACAUGGGCUCAGACCUGGGCUUGGCCAAUUUGAUCAUUGUUGUUUUUGGAGCUUGUAAGGAUCACCUUUUUUCUGCAGGCUGGAGCUACUGUUCAUUGUUAGAUGCUUGUGAUUUCUCUUGGCUGACUUGGUGCUGUCAGCUCAACUGUAAAGUUUCACUGGCCUAGAAAAUGACAGGAGGCUUUCGAGCAAGAAAGAUCAAGAGCAGAAAUAAAAUCUAUUUUUAAUCCUGCCUCUGUUUUCCGUGGGCGACACAAUUUCUCAUAGCAUGGCAGUUCCGGAGCAUGUGGUGUCACAGAGUGCUCCUCGUGGGUUGUUGUACAGAUUUACAUGCUUUCCCUCAGCUGGAAAUUUCAGUCUGGAGGAGGUUAUCGUACUUCUAAUACUUACGUAGCACUCUGAUUUAUUGCAGUAGGUUGGCAAUAUAUACGCAGUAACAGAAAACAUAAGAGAGGCAUUUAAAGAAGUACUCGAGCAUUAACAAAGCUGAACCAUGUCAAGUGAUGAUGAAUUUUACACAAUACCCUUGAUCACCCUAUUAUUAAUGUCAUCAAUCUCUCUCUGUGAGAAGUGGCAGCACUUAUUAGCUCUGGCUACGACCACAAUACCAAAUGUUCUACUAAAUAAUUAAUCAUUUGAGGUAUGAUGCCACAGUUUGCCUCUUUCCAAUUGAAGCGUAUCAACUUACUCAUUUGUUCCUUUAUUUGGAAACAAAAAGCUUCAUGGACAAAAAUGAGUCAAAUGUACUGAUAUGUACGUGCAGACUAUUCAGCAUAGAAAUCUCAUGCUGUUCCUUGUAGGAAAACAAAAGCCAAAACCAAAAAGCAAUCCAUCCUUUAAAACAACACCCCCAAAUUAAUAGUUCUUAGGAACAUAAGCCGUCUCUGCUGCCAGAGCCUCAUCCCAGCCGGCUUCCCCUGCCUCUGCACUGUCAGUUCAAUCCUCUCCCUGUUUUAAGAGGGCAUCUGGAAUGCCACACUACCAGGAUAUCCUUAGAGACAGAACCCUGCAAUGCCAAUUUGAUUGUUUAAUUAAAAAAAUCAGGGGGUAAGUGCCCCUUUGUUAAACUGGUUAUCGUUUGUAGCUAAGACAAAAUAGGUUCCAAACAAACAGUUUAAAACAUUAUCUUCUUUUUAGCUAAAGAUCAUUUAAUUUAGAGUAAGGGUAUAUUAAUUUGUUGUGCUCAAUUAUGUAGUGAGUCAUGGAGAAAGAUUACUAAUUAUAGGGUCAUUUAUUUUUCACAAGUAUGAAGGCACACAAAAGAAAUAUAUUCUAUCCAGACCAAGAGGCUUGUCCUACCCAAGUCCUUCUUUAUUUGUCCCUGCUGUUUCACAUAAGUCAGUUUGGUUUUAGUUUCAAUGUAUGUAUCUUCUUGAAGUGCUUAAUUUUGUUUGUGUUCCUCCAGGGAAUUUUAGCUAAAAGCUUUCACAUCUGUUAUAUCUGUGACACUGUUUUUUCCCCCUCUGGUUUCUUCCUCAAUAUCAGUACACAGCAGUCUGCUCAUCAAAGAUUAAUGCCAACCUUCCACUUGCAUUUACCCAUUCAUAGAUUCUCCUCUUUCAGUGUAGCUCUUUGUUUUUAUUAAUUCCCCCUGGAUACUAGUUAGAAUUGGCCACAUUUAACAAGAUAACACUGGUUCUCUGUUCUCUUUCCUGAUGAGUCAGUUGACUACAUUUCCUAAUCAGUAUUUUCAUAAGCAAUCUUCCCUGCUAGUUACUACUUGCUAUUCAUCCUCUGUUGUUGAUCAAAACAUAUGGCAGUGUUCCUUUCCCCUUGACUGGAUGCCUGGAACUUUUAGAAGUGAAAAUAGCUAAUGAGUUUUGCUAACUGGAAAUUAAAAAUAAUAAACAAGCAUUUGUGAAUACAUCAGUGCAAUCUGUAGCAGCCAUUAAUGAUUUUGCAGCUACUCCUUAACUGCCUGAAUGCUCUAGGGUGACACAAAAACUUUUUAAUAUAAAUCAGCUAAUAUCUUUAUUUGGCAGUUCUUAUCUUUGUAUGUAGUUUAUGUAUGAAAGGUCACAACCUCCCACAGUCACCAGUGUCUUAUACAUUUUGUGUCUUAUACAGUGUCUUUUAUAGUUUGAAUUUCCAAUUAGAAACGUGGGUUAUCAAUCAUUCUGUCUGUGAUCAUUGGGUUACUAUAAAUCCCCAAGUUCUUUAGUUUUCCUAGGGGUAUUCAGCAUAGAGCUGAACAAGAAAAGUUACAGUGUAAAGCACUCAUUACACUGACAUCCUCCCAACCCUCCACAUCUUUCCUACUCUGUACCAAACUGUUUCAGUUAAAAGGUAUGAUACAAUCAGUGAAAUCAAUAUAAGCUUUGCCUGUACUAGAUGUUAAACAUCAGGAAUCUAUAAAGAUGCUCAAGAGAAUGCUGAAUACAUGUAGACGUCUGUUUAAAUCAAUAUGCUGUCACGUAUACAAAUAUAUAUGUGUAGAUGUGUAUUUAAACCUUUGGUGUCUCUAACUCCGAAGCUGCUUAAUCAGCAGGGACUGCAGAUAAUCUUUCACCUCUGAUGCUGAACUGUGAAUGAGGAACUGCAAGGUGUGCAGGAAUCAAGUUAUCUAGAUUAGAGUUCUGCCUUCAGCAGCUGUCAGCACUGAGUGGUACAGAGGGCAAUUUAAGGGAUAUCACUGUAGACUAAUGGAAUUGGGACACAGUUGAGCCUUUUUAAUCAGAACGGCUUAAAAAUUGGUCUGAACAUUGGUGACUGAAAGCUUCAGAACCAGUCAAGAUCUCCUCAUUCUUUCUAAGUGUUUUUGUUGUUAUUUGAACAGCUGAGUUCUAUCUAAAUUAUCUUAAGAUAUGGUAUACACUGGACAGAUUUUGGGGACAUAAGAAGUGCUCUGUGAUGAAUGUCCUGCACAUAGGACAUCCAGGUGGGGUUUGACAGUUGGUAUUUCCAGGGCAAGGGAAGUACUUCAGUUGCUUUGCUUUCCAUAACAACCUUGUGAGAUAAGCAGCUAUAGGCAUGGAAUAAUCUAUGUUAUCCGUGGAUGUUAUCUCACUGAAUACUUCAAUAGUGUUCAGAUCUAGCAGUUUAAUAAGGGUCGUGUUUAACUGCAAGUUGUGCAUUUCAUGCAUUUCUCAAAGAGAGGUCUUUGCCUAGGCACUGUAGUAAUUACCAGGAGGAAACACAUGAACAGAGGAUUCAAACUUAGAUUCAAUGCUGAGCAGAUGAGCUCUGCCCCAUGCCACUAUCCAGUGUUAAACCUCCCAUUUUUCUUCAUGUAAAAUAGCUUUUGUAGUGUUAUCCUGAAAAUUCUUUGUCUUGAAUGAAAUGGCAAAGAUUACAUGGCAGAGUGUAGGACUGUUUUCAAUGUAUUAAUAUUCACAUCAUAUUCAUUAAAUUUACUUUGUCUCUACUGACGUAAGUAAAACCACUGGCAGAAAGCGAUGUGAAUUCUCUCCUGUGGCAGAAAGGCCCAUGUUUUCCAUCUUUGAAAAACAGUUUCUUCUCCUUCCAAAAGUACUUUUCCUUUUUUUUUUUCUUUCUUCUUCCAGCGAGCAUGAAACUCUUAAAUAGAACCUUUAUGUGCUCCUAACCCUAUUUCAGCUAUUUCAGCUAGCAUCUUUUUUCGUUGUGUAGUUCAUAACCUUUGUAGCUCAGUCAUCUCCUGUGGAUAAUAUUUCCCACUUUUUAGAAGCCAAUGGUCUUCUCUUGCAUUUCAGUUCUAAAUACUUAGAAGCAUUUUUUCCAGAAACCGAGGUGACUUCUGUUGCUCUAUGGUUCAGAAGUCUGUACUCUGUUAAUUAACUUGAGAAAGACUCGGUAUGUUCCUGCCACUCAAGGGCUCCACGCACAAGCAGAGAUGUGAACCUUCUAUUAUGAAGAGCCAUUUGCAGGAUCUGGAGGUGUCCACACGGACAGGUCUUCAGUAACGGCCGGCCCGAGCCCUGAGCAGCGCUGCCCAAGGCCGGCUCUGUCAGCCAUAGCCGCGGCGACAGCUGACGUCAGGCUGCCUGCGCCCGGCCGCUAACACCGACUUCACGCGGCCUCCACAACCUCCCCGCGCCUCACAGCCGCGGGACCCGCCG
Meleagris gallopavo (turkey) is the source of this 8472-nucleotide non-coding RNA. NCBI's taxonomy places the organism in Eukaryota, Metazoa, Chordata, Aves, Galliformes, Phasianidae. The record is from RefSeq and is a predicted model, not a curated record.